AUUGAACGCUGGCGGCAGGCCUAACACAUGCAAGUCGAGCGGAUGAAGGUAGCUUGCUCCUGGAUUCAGCGGCGGACGGGUGAGUAAUGCCUAGGAAUCUGCCUGGUAGUGGGGGAUAACGUCCGGAAACGGGCGCUAAUACCGCAUACGUCCUGAGGGAGAAAGUGGGGGAUCUUCGGACCUCACGCUAUCAGAUGAGCCUAGGUCGGAUUAGCUAGUUGGUGGGGUAAAGGCCUACCAAGGCGACGAUCCGUAACUGGUCUGAGAGGAUGAUCAGUCACACUGGAACUGAGACACGGUCCAGACUCCUACGGGAGGCAGCCGUGGGGAAUAUUGGACAAUGGGCGAAAGCCUGAUCCAGCCAUGCCGCGUGUGUGAAGAAGGUCUUCGGAUUGUAAAGCACUUUAAGUUGGGAGGAAGGGCAGUAAGUUAAUACCUUGCUGUUUUGACGUUACCAACAGAAUAAGCACCGGCUAACUUCGUG
This 484-nucleotide ribosomal RNA is filed under the name uncultured bacterium. RNAcentral's name for it is "partial 16S ribosomal RNA". It matches the Rfam family "Bacterial small subunit ribosomal RNA", at positions 30 to 507 of the family's 1533-position model. The record is from RNAcentral.